This 46-nucleotide non-coding RNA is filed under the name Trichobilharzia regenti. The record is from RNAcentral. Lineage: Eukaryota; Metazoa; Platyhelminthes; Trematoda; Strigeidida; Schistosomatidae.
GUACCACUGAAGAGUCCCAAACACGGACGAAACAGCUUUCCAGUAU